Molecule: ribosomal RNA, 411 nt
Filed under: Sinumelon hullanum
Lineage: Eukaryota; Metazoa; Mollusca; Gastropoda; Stylommatophora; Camaenidae
Description: partial 16S ribosomal RNA
Rfam family: Archaeal large subunit ribosomal RNA
Source: RNAcentral
CAAAAACAUAGCUAUUAGAAUUUAAUAAUAGUGAAUUCUGCUCAAUGAGUUUUAAAUAGCCGCAGUACACUGACUGUGCAAAGGUAGCAUAAUCAGUUGGCUUAUAAUUGAAGUCUUGUAUGAAUGAAUAAAUGGGGAGUAACUGUAUCUGAAAUAGAAAAUGAAAUUACUCAGUAAGUGCAAAUUCUUACAAAUACAUAAUAGACGAGGAGACCUUAGAAAUUUUGAACAUGUGUACAACGGCUUUUUUGUUGGGGCCACAGUGUAACAGAUAACUUACAUUAUAAGACAAGAAAUUUAUUUGAAAGAUAAAAUUACUCUAGGGAUAACAGCGUAAUAUUUUGUAUGUUUGCGACCUCGAUGUUGGACUAGGAAACGAAUACUUAGAAGGUUAGUUGUAAGCUCUGUUCG